RNAcentral lists this ribosomal RNA (115 nucleotides) under Lepisosteus oculatus (spotted gar). The record is from RNAcentral. Lineage: Eukaryota; Metazoa; Chordata; Actinopteri; Semionotiformes; Lepisosteidae.
GCGAACAGCUAUAUCACCCUGCAGCUCUCAGCUGGCUACUGAAGCUAAACAGAGUUGAGCCUGGUCAGUACCUGGAUGGGAGACAUCCUGGGAAAAACCAAGGUUGCUGCUGGAA